CAACCCUCAAGCCCAGCUUGGUGUUGGGGCAUUGCGGCUCGUCCGCAAGCCCUGAAAAGCAGUGGCGGGCUCGCCGUAACUCCGAGCGCAGUAGUUUAUUCUCGUUCUGGAAGCGUGGCGGGUGCCGGCCGUUAAACCCCUACUUUUAUAA
Molecule: unclassified non-coding RNA, 151 nt
Filed under: uncultured Sordariales
Lineage: Eukaryota; Fungi; Ascomycota; Sordariomycetes; Sordariales
Description: sequence contains ITS2
Source: RNAcentral